UUGAACGCUGGCGGCAGGCUUAACACAUGCAAGUCGAGCGGAUGAAAGUAGCUUGCUACCGGAUUCAGCGGCGGACGGGUGAGUAAUGCUUAGGAAUCUGCCUAUUAGUGGGGGACAACGUUCCGAAAGGAGCGCUAAUACCGCAUACGUCCUACGGGAGAAAGCAGGGGACCUUCGGGCCUUGCGCUAAUAGAUGAGCCUAAGUCGGAUUAGCUAGUUGGUAGGGUAAAGGCCUACCAAGGCGACGAUCUGUAGCGGGUCUGAGAGGAUGAUCCGCCACACUGGGACUGAGACACGGCCCAGACUCCUACGGGAGGCAGCAGUGGGGAAUAUUGGACAAUGGGGGGAACCCUGAUCCAGCCAUGCCGCGUGUGUGAAGAAGGCCUUUUGGUUGUAAAGCACUUUAAGCGAGGAGGAGGCUACCUAGAUUAAUACUUUAGGAUAGUGGACGUUACUCGCAGAAUAAGCACCGGCUAACUCUGUGCCAGCAGCCGCGGUAAUACAGAGGGUGCGAGCGUUAAUCGGAUUUACUGGGCGUAAAGCGUGCGUAGGCGGCCAAUUAAGUCAAAUGUGAAAUCCCCGAGCUUAACUUGGGAAUUGCAUUCGAUACUGGUUGGCUAGAGUAUGGGAGAGGAUGGUAGAAUUCCAGGUGUAGCGGUGAAAUGCGUAGAGAUCUGGAGGAAUACCGAUGGCGAAAGCAGCCAUCUGGCCUAAUACUGACGCUGAGUACGAAAGCAUGGGGAGCAAACAGAUUAGAUAC
This 760-nucleotide ribosomal RNA is filed under the name Acinetobacter radioresistens WC-A-157. Its description in RNAcentral is "bacterial SSU rRNA". It matches the Rfam family "Bacterial small subunit ribosomal RNA", at positions 29 to 785 of the family's 1533-position model. The record is from RNAcentral. Lineage: Bacteria; Pseudomonadati; Pseudomonadota; Gammaproteobacteria; Moraxellales; Moraxellaceae.